CCUACGGGUGGCAGCAGUGGGGAAUAUUGCACAAUGGGCGCAAGCCUGAUGCAGCCAUGCCGCGUGUGUGAAGAAGGCCUUCGGGUUGUAAAGCACUUUCAGCGGGGAGGAAGGCGUUAAGGUUAAUAACCUUGUCGAUUGACGUUACCCGCAGAAGAAGCACCGGCUAACUCCGUGCCAGCAGCCGCGGUAAUACGGAGGGUGCAAGCGUUAAUCGGAAUUACUGGGCGUAAAGCGCACGCAGGCGGUCUGUCAAGUCGGAUGUGAAAUCCCCGGGCUCAACCUGGGAACUGCAUUCGAAACUGGCAGGCUAGAGUCUUGUAGAGGGGGGUAGAAUUCCAGGUGUAGCGGGGAAAUGCGUAGAGAUCUGGAGGAAUACCGGUGGCGAAGGCGGCCCCCUGGACAAAGACUGACGCUCAGGUGCGAAAGCGUGGGGAGCAAACAGGAUUAGAUACCCUAGUAGUC
Molecule: ribosomal RNA, 465 nt
Filed under: uncultured Klebsiella sp.
Lineage: Bacteria; Pseudomonadati; Pseudomonadota; Gammaproteobacteria; Enterobacterales; Enterobacteriaceae
Description: bacterial SSU rRNA
Rfam family: Bacterial small subunit ribosomal RNA
Source: RNAcentral